ACAAAUGCCCUGCUUCCAGGAAAAGCCUCUAAGCAUCAGGUAACAUCAAAUCGUACCCCAAACCGACACAGGUGGUCAGGUAGAGAAUACCAAGGCGCUUGAGAGAACUCGGGUGAAGGAACUAGGCAAAAUGGUGCCGUAACUUCGGGAGAAGGCACGCUGAUAUGUAGGUGAAGCGACUUGCUCGUGGAGCUGAAAUCAGUCGAAGAUACCAGCUGGCUGCAACUGUUUAUUAAAAACACAGCACUGUGCAAACACGAAAGUGGACGUAUACGGUGUGACGCCUGCCCGGUGCCGGAAGGUUAAUUGAUGGGGUUAGCGGUAACGCGAAGCUCUUGAUCGAAGCCCCGGUAAACGGCGGCCGUAACUAUAACGGUCCUAAGGUAGCGAAAUUCCUUGUCGGGUAAGUUCCGACCUGCACGAAUGGCGUAAUGAUGGCCAGGCUGUCUCCACCCGAGACUCAGUGAAAUUGAACUCGCUGUGAAGAUGCAGUGUACCCGCGGCAAGACGGAAAGACCCCGUGAACCUUUACUAUAGCUUGACACUGAACAUUGAGCCUUGAUGUGUAGGAUAGGUGGGAGGCUUUGAAGUGUGGACGCCAGUCUGCAUGGAGCCGACCUUGAAAUACCACCCUUUAAUGUUUGAUGUUCUAACGUUGGCCCGUAAUCCGGGUUGCGGACAGUGUCUGGUGGGUAGUUUGACUGGGGCGGUCUCCUCCUAAAGAGUAACGGAGGAGCACGAAGGUUGGCUAAUCCUGGUCGGACAUCAGGAGGUUAGUGCAAUGGCAUAAGCCAGCUUGACUGCGAGCGUGACGGCGCGAGCAGGUGCGAAAGCAGGUCAUAGUGAUCCGGUGGUUCUGAAUGGAAGGGCCAUCGCUCAACGGAUAAAAGGUACUCCGGGGAUAACAGGCUGAUACCGCCCAAGAGUUCAUAUCGACGGCGGUGUUUGGCACCUCGAUGUCGGCUCAUCACAUCCUGGGGCUGAAGUAGGUCCCAAGGGUAUGGCUGUUCGCCAUUUAAAGUGGUACGCGAGCUGGGUUUAGAACGUCGUGAGACAGUUCGGUCCCUAUCUGCCGUGGGCGCUGGAGAACUGAGGGGGGCUGCUCCUAGUACGAGAGGACCGGAGUGGACGCAUCACUGGUGUUCGGGUUGUCAUGCCAAUGGCACUGCCCGGUAGCUAAAUGCGGAAGAGAUAAGUGCUGAAAGCAUCUAAGCACGAAACUUGCCCCGAGAUGAGUUCUCCCUGACUCCUUGAGGGUCCUGAAGGAACGUUGAAGACGACGACGUUGAUAGGCCGGGUGUGUAAGCGCAGCGAUGCGUUGAGCUAACCGGUACUAAUGAACCGUGAGGCUUAACCUU
RNAcentral lists this ribosomal RNA (1358 nucleotides) under Escherichia coli. Its description in RNAcentral is "bacterial LSU rRNA". It matches the Rfam family "Bacterial large subunit ribosomal RNA", at positions 1593 to 2925 of the family's 2925-position model. Lineage: Bacteria; Pseudomonadati; Pseudomonadota; Gammaproteobacteria; Enterobacterales; Enterobacteriaceae. The record is from RNAcentral.